CAUGUUUAAAACCCAANGGAAUUGGCGGUGCUAUAAUCCAACUAGGGGAACUUGUCCCUUGAUUCGAUNAUCCACGANAAUCUCACUUACUCUAGCAAUCAGUUUGUAUACCGUCGUCUAGCCGGCCNNUCANGAGCAUAGAAGCUAGCAAAAGAGGUUAAUCCCUANAAAGACAGAUAAAGGUGCAGCCAAUGGGUAAGGGAAGGAUGCGUNACAAUUAAAAAUUUGAUAGUGGAAUUUUAAUGAAAUUUUUAAAUGAAAGAGGACUUAGAAGUAAUUNUUAGAANAAACUAAUAAUGAAUUGUUUUAGGCUCUAUAGUGUGUAC
This 326-nucleotide ribosomal RNA is filed under the name Scutellastra peronii. RNAcentral describes it as "partial 12S ribosomal RNA". The record is from RNAcentral. Lineage: Eukaryota; Metazoa; Mollusca; Gastropoda; Patellidae.